This is a long non-coding RNA of Chelonia mydas (Green sea turtle), 364 nucleotides long. RefSeq lists it as uncharacterized. The transcript has 3 exons. The record is from RefSeq and is a predicted model, not a curated record. Lineage: Eukaryota; Metazoa; Chordata; Testudines; Cheloniidae.
UACGGAGCCCUGAUGCAAGGUGUCGCUAUACAGCAAGAGGGGCCAUCUUCCAGGUAAAGUACGUCAGUUCGCUCUCGAAGUCUGCCAUGCCAGCUGUCUGCGCAGGGCUGGGACAGCACAUAGAGAGAAAACACAUACACGCAGCCAGACAUCUAACCGCAUUGGUGAACCACGACCGCUAAUCUGUAGGUCAUCUGGAAGACAGCAUCCAUAUGCAACAACAGGAUCUACAUCCGCCACCGGUGUAUCACAGAGCAAUGCAACCAAUGGAACAGGGAAGCUUCACUGUCCUGUGAAGCUUACCAAAGGGUAACAACCAGCAGUACGGGUAACCUAUAACUUUUUUUCUGGCGACUCACUUGAA